RNAcentral lists this ribosomal RNA (346 nucleotides) under uncultured bacterium. RNAcentral describes it as "bacterial SSU rRNA". It matches the Rfam family "Bacterial small subunit ribosomal RNA", at positions 8 to 334 of the family's 1533-position model. The record is from RNAcentral.
AGGGUUUGAUUAUGGCUCAGGAUGAACGCUGGCGGCGUGCUUAACACAUGCAAGUCGAACGAAGCACUUUAUUUGAUUUCCUUCGGGACUGAUUAUUUUGUGACUGAGUGGCGGACGGGUGAGUAACGCGUGGGUAACCUGCCUUGUACAGGGGGAUAACAGUUGGAAACGGCUGCUAAUACCGCAUAAGCGCACAGCAUCGCAUGAUGCAGUGUGAAAAACUCCGGUGGUAUAAGAUGGACCCGCGUUGGAUUAGCUAGUUGGUGAGGUAACGGCCCACCAAGGCGACGAUCCAUAGCCGACCUGAGAGGGUGACCGGCCACAUUGGGACUGAGACACGGCCCAA